GAAGUCGCCGCCCGCGUCUGUCCAAACUUAGUCCCAAACUCAGGAGGUUCCUGUCCCAAGAAGCAAUGUAAAGUUUGAAACGAGCCGAGCGCGGUGGCUCACGCCUGUAAUCCCAGCACUUUGGGAGGCCGAGGCUGGCGAAUCAUUUGAGACACAGGGUCUCACUGUGUUGGCCAGGCUGGAGUGCGGCAGUCUGGAACUCCUGGGCCCAAGUGAUCCUCCAAUCAGCCUCACAAAGCACUGGAAUUACAGAUGGAGUUUUGCUCUUGUUGCCCAGGCUGGAGUACAAUGGCGCAAUCUCGGCUCACUGCAACCUCCGCCUCCGGGUUCAAGUGAUUCUCCUGCCUCAGCCUCCUGAGUAGCUGGGAUUACAGGAGCCUACUACCACGGCCAGCUAAUUUUUUUGUAUUUUUAGUAGAGACGGGGCUUUACCAUGUUGGCCAGGCUGGUUUCAAACUCCUGACCUCAGGUGAUCCACCCGCCUCGGCCUCCCAAACUGCUGGGAUUAUAGGCAUGAGCCACCGUGCCCGGCCCAUAGAUUACUUUUAUAAUCAAGUUUUUCUUUACUUUUUAAAGAGUAAAUUCUCUCACCUCAGGUAGCUCAGAGAGCUGCGCUGGAGGAGAAAAGCCAGUCCUGGCAGGAGCUCUGGUACCUGGGAAGCUGGAUGGAGAGCCUGGGCCAGAAUCCCGGACCCCUCACCUCUGCGGCCUAGCUUUGUGACCUUGGCAAAUCCAUUCUAUGCACCUCCAUUUCCUGUACAGUGGGGAUCCUUAUUUCUCUGGCACAGAUUGGUAUUUGUUCUGUAAAGCCCAGUACCACUUUAUUUUAUUUUAGUUAUUGAUUUUUUUGAGACAGGGCCUCACUCUGUUGCCAAGGCUGGAAUGCAGUGGCGAGAUCAUAGCUCACUGCAGCCUCAAACUCCUGGGCUCAGGCCAUCCUCCUGCCUCGGCCUCCUGAGUAGCUGGGACGACAGGCGUGCACCACUGCGCCUAGCUCCAGUACCAUGUUUAAACGGUGCUCAGAAAACGUGCUAAACUUGGUGGAUGGGAAUUGAAAAGAGAUUUAAUGUUUUAAAAAUCAAAGUCACUCAGCUGCAGUGCCACAUGGGAAGGAGGCCUGGAUGUGAAUGUUCCUGGGAGCUGAGAGCUCCUGUGACUGUCGCCAGUUUCCUGUGGUCUCCCACAGACUCAGGACAUCUCCCUCUGCUCCAGGACACCUCAGGACCACCAGAGGGCACUCAUCGCACCUUCACCCCUGGAAGGGAGCUGGUCCUGGGGCCAAAACCCACUGUGCCUGGGAAGCCCUUCCUGGCUUCUGCUCUCCUCAAUGUAUGACAGCCCUGAUUUACCCCCAGGGACUGUUGCCACUCGGGGUUGUAGAGUAAUAUGUAACCAGACUGGAGAACCACAGCAAUGCUCUCUCCUCUGCCCAUCACCUCCCCUUGGCCCCUCCCUCUUCAUCAGCCCCAUUUUGGAGAAGGGAGAAAGAAGGGAGAGGCAGCAGUCUCCUCCCAGGUGGGGCCGGACUCCAGGGAAGGAGAAUUUUCAGAAGUUGCUGGAGUUGCCGAAUCUGUCAGGGCCCAGGGUUCACAGAGCAGUGAUGGAGGAGAAAGGAGAGGAAGCAGAUCUAAGCACACAUGGGCAUCAAACCAGAGGAACAAAGUCACAUGCAGAGGGCUGCACAUAGACACAGGGAAACACACACACGGAGAUGCACAGAAACACGCAGACCCCAUGCAGGGACCUGCUUUCCCGCCACAGAGGAAAGCAAUCUGAUCAAACAGACCCACUGUGCACCCAGCCCUCCAUGCUUGGGGACAACACACCUACAAAAAUAUAAGAAAAAAAAGGAAAACUGCUCUGCCUGGGAUGCCUUGCUUGACUUUUCUUGUAAAUAAGCAUUUGAAUGUGUUUUGUUCUAGGAGCUUUCGAGGCAGGCACAAAGGGAGCCCUUUCUCAUGCAGGAAGGUCCCUCUGCAACCUCCCCCUUCCCUCCCCUUCCUGCCAUCCGCCUACAGGCUGAGGUGGCUUUAUUUCUGGGACCCGAGUGUGGAUACCUCCUGUUUUAGAGAACCCUGAGAACCACUGUGCUAUUUCCAAGUUAAACUCCAGGCCGAGAUGAAAUUAGGCUUCUUUUUCUUUCUCUUUUUUUUUUUUUUUUUUGAGAUGGAGUCUCACUCUGUUGCCCAGGCUGGAAUGCAGUGGCACGAUCCCAGCUCACUGCAACCUCUGCCUCCUGGGUUCAAGCGAUUCUCCUGCCUCACCCUCCCGAGUAGUUGGGAUUACAGGCACCUGCCACCACACCCAGCUAAUUUUUGUAUUUUUAGUAGAGACGGGGUUUCACCAUGUUGGCCAGGCUGGUCUCGAACACCUGACCGCGUGAUCCGCUGGCCUCGGCCUCCCAAAGUGCUGAGAUUACAGGAGUGAGCCACCAUGCCUGGCCAGAUUGGUGAUUUUUUUUAAUCACCUGCAGCUCCCAGUCAUUCACAGGCCUCUGCCCCAUCCCCUGUCCAUAUGGAAGCUGAGAGGGCCGCAGGGAGGGGCCUGUCCAGUGUGGCCGCAGCUCUUCCCAGGAGGGAAUCCCUGUCAUCCAAAAGUUUUCUUUCCCCUCCUCUGGCCAUUCCAGGCUAAAGGAAUGAAAGCUCCCUCUCUCUAGGCUGGAAAACAGGUAAACGAUAUGUAAUUUAUGAGCACCAUCAGCCCAAAGUGCACAAGUCAUAUAUGCACAAAGGGG
This 2734-nucleotide long non-coding RNA is filed under the name Homo sapiens (human). RNAcentral describes it as "non-protein coding LINC00337:7". The record is from RNAcentral. Lineage: Eukaryota; Metazoa; Chordata; Mammalia; Primates; Hominidae.